AUAUUUCUCCAGCUUUCCUGCUUCUCUCUUUCUGCUAAGGGAUAAGUAAGUCUCAGAUGGGGACGGUUCCUCUGACCUGGACUCCAGAAGACAAGAAGUGAAGCCACGGCCAGUACUCCACUGACGAGCAGAGAAGGAGACAGACUCUCUGGGUCUAAGAACUACGGGCCCCAGGAGAAUUUUCAGUCAACGUGGAAAUGCCAAGGAGGAUGAGGAGGUCUUUCCGAGAUUCAACAGGGUCUUCAUGAAAUCUCUGAAAUAUCUGUAUUGUGUUGGUCCCCCAAGUUUCUUUUGUGAAGAUGGGAGCAACAUGUGAUAUUCCCACUUCCUCUUUUUAAAACCAUCACUGGGCUGUCAUUUCAGCAACAUCUUAACAAAUGAAAAUCCUCCUCUGAGUCAAUAGUAAUUAUAGGAAUUUAUCACAAUUGCCAAUCAAGGUGUUCUGAAGAGACUCAUCUUUCUUGUUAAAUUAGCUUUCACUGCACGCAAACAGUGAGUUAUCUUUAG
This 507-nucleotide long non-coding RNA is filed under the name Equus caballus (horse). RNAcentral's name for it is "lncRNA (ENSECAG00000051049.1)". The record is from RNAcentral. Lineage: Eukaryota; Metazoa; Chordata; Mammalia; Perissodactyla; Equidae.